GCGUUCCUCACUGGAGAGAGGCGGGGCGGACCAUCGGUCGAGCCCGUCCACCGAAGGGGCAAGCCGCCGGUCAACCACCGACGGCCAAUCUCUCAGGUAAAGCGGACAGCGAGGGCAUA
Molecule: non-coding RNA, 119 nt
Filed under: Roseateles aquatilis
Lineage: Bacteria; Pseudomonadati; Pseudomonadota; Betaproteobacteria; Burkholderiales; Sphaerotilaceae
Description: Glycine sequence
Rfam family: Glycine riboswitch aptamer
About the family: This family represents the bacterial glycine riboswitch. Glycine riboswitches usually consist of two metabolite-binding aptamers domains with similar structures in tandem.
Source: Rfam by way of RNAcentral